This is a non-coding RNA of Cinara cedri, 221 nucleotides long. The record is from the annotation of a GenBank genome assembly. Lineage: Eukaryota; Metazoa; Arthropoda; Insecta; Hemiptera; Aphididae.
GAUGCAUAUACAUGAUGGUAAUAUCUCAAACCGAUAUACUUUACUGAUAGAUUUUAUAUUUAUAACCAAAAUAAUAAUACUUUAUUAAAUCAUAUAUCAAACUAAUCUCCGCGAUUUACCGACUGACGUCCGAGCGUCCCCCCCCUGGCCACCCCUUAAAACACAUCUUUGCCCGAGGUUUGACAUUUUAGACGUCUGCGUGUAAUAGCGCACACAGGAUU